GAUGAACGCUGGCGGCGUGCCUAAUACAUGCAAGUCGAGCGAACGGACGAGAAGCUUGCUUCUCUGAUGUUAGCGGCGGACGGGUGAGUAACACGUGGAUAACCUACCUAUAAGACUGGGAUAACUUCGGGAAACCGGAGCUAAUACCGGAUAAUAUUUUGAACCGCAUGGUUCAAAAGUGAAAGACGGUCUUGCUGUCACUUAUAGAUGGAUCCGCGCUGCAUUAGCUAGUUGGUAAGGUAACGGCUUACCAAGGCAACGAUGCAUAGCCGACCUGAGAGGGGGAUCGGCCCACUGGGAACUGGGACACGGUCCAGACCCCAACGGGGGGCAGCAGUGGGAAAUUUCCCGCAAUGGGGGAAAGCCUGAGGGGGAAACGCCGCGUGAGUGAUGAAGGUCUUCGGAUCGUAAAACCCUUUUUUUAGGAAAGAAAAUAUGUUUAAGUAACUGGGCCCAUUUUGACGGUCCCUAAGCAGAAAGCCCCGGUUAACUACGG
RNAcentral lists this ribosomal RNA (496 nucleotides) under uncultured bacterium. Its description in RNAcentral is "partial 16S ribosomal RNA". It matches the Rfam family "Bacterial small subunit ribosomal RNA", at positions 28 to 506 of the family's 1533-position model. The record is from RNAcentral.